RNAcentral lists this ribosomal RNA (164 nucleotides) under uncultured bacterium. Its description in RNAcentral is "partial 16S rRNA". It matches the Rfam family "Bacterial small subunit ribosomal RNA", at positions 355 to 511 of the family's 1533-position model. The record is from RNAcentral.
UAGGGAAUCUUCCACAAUGGACGAAAGUCUGAUGGAGCAACGCCGCGUGAGUGAAGAAGAUCUUCGGAUCGUAAAGCUCUGUUGUUGGUGAAGAAGGAUAGAGGCAGUAACUGGUCUUUAUUUGACGGUAAUCAACCAGAAAGUCACGGCUAACUACGUGCCAG